Molecule: ribosomal RNA, 492 nt
Filed under: uncultured bacterium
Lineage: Bacteria
Description: partial 16S ribosomal RNA
Rfam family: Bacterial small subunit ribosomal RNA
Source: RNAcentral
AGUGAACGCUGGCGGUAGGCCUAACACAUGCAAGUCGAACGGCAGCACAGUAAGAGCUUGCUCUUACGGGUGGCGAGUGGCGGACGGGUGAGGAAUACAUCGGAAUCUACUUUUUCGUGGGGGAUAACGUAGGGAAACUUACGCUAAUACCGCAUACGACCUACGGGUGAAAGCAGGGGAUCUUCGGACCUUGCGCGAUUGAAUGAGCCGAUAUCGGAUUAGCUAGUUGGCGGGGUAAAGGCCCACCAAGGCGACGAUCCGUAGCUGGUCUGAGAGGAUGAUCAGCCACACUGGAACUGAGACACGGUCCAGACUCCUACGGGAGGCAGCAGUGGGGAAUAUUGGACAAUGGGCGCAAGCCUGAUCCAGCCAUACCGCGUGGGUGAAGAAGGCCUUCGGGUUGUAAAGCCCUUUUGUUGGGAAAGAAAAGCAGCAGGUUAAUACCCCGCUGUUCUGACAGUACCCAAAGAAUAAGCACCGGCUAACUUCGUG